CCAGCCCCCACCCAUAGACGGAACCGGGGCCUGGGCUCUUGCCGGCUCUGGUCCUCACCUGCCGGGGCCGCCCUGGGCACCAGCUCGGCCAGUAUCACACCCCCUUUCCGCAGCGGAACUAGGCCACUGUGGUGCUGAGCCUGCUCUGGCUGUGCAGAUGGAGGGCCACUCCGGUUUGCCUGGGUUUCUGGUUUUAGCACUGAAAGCCCCGUGUCCUAGGAGCACCCUCUGUGCCAGGGGCAAACUGGGGCAGUUCGUCACCCUACUCUGGACCAGCUCGGGGAACACACUGCCUUAGCGCCUUGGACCAUUUACCAGCUUGUCUUUUUCACAAGAGAAAUAAACCUAUCUUUUUAAAGGUGCUGUUAUUUUGGUCUCUAUUAAAGUCUCUGAACCAGUACUCUGAGUGAGCGGUUCCAGUCGCCGGGAGGGCUGGCGAAGAGCACUGGGGCUCUGGGAGCAGAGUGGGCUGGGGAUCUGUGUCUCUAUCGCGCUCUGGCUGGUUGUGAUGGAACCCGAGGCUGAGAACCGCUGUCUUAGGUAGCAGACCUCAGCAAGAGAAAAAGAGUUAGAAGACAGGGAGGCACAGCCUCGAACCUGUGGCUUUCAGGGAUGUCCUGGGCUUGUGAUCCCCAGGGCAGCGGAGCCCAGAACAGAAACUGCCUGACUGUCAGCCCCUGUGUCCCCCCGCAUCCCUGCUCGAGCCCCUACUGCACGGACAGGCCGCUGGGGCUCGGGCCAGGCUACCUCCCCUUCUUCCACUUUGAAGGGUUCAGUUAAAUUGGGACCACCUGGAAAACCCCAGGUACUCGCCCUGUCUUAAGAUCAGCUGCUUGGCAACCUUAAUUGCAUGUGCCACCUUAAUUCCCUUUUGCCAUGUAAUGUAACUGAUGACAACAAUGAUAAUGCAAAAAAAUGAUAAGGUAAAACCGAGAUAUCUGCAUAAAAUCUUAUCAGCUGGCACCAGCAAUCGUGUGAGCACACACGAGAGUGAGAUUCCACAUGCCUUUGCUGUUGCGAAUGACCAUAGAGAGGGAAAGACAGGGGACUGUUCCUUACUUUCCCCACACCCUUGGUGACCUGGUGAGCCCUGUGAGAAAACAGCUCUGUCCCCUCUGGGUGCCCUCUGGGGCCAGCUGUGCCUGGCUCUCUGAUCAUCUGCUGUGGUUCUGAGAGGCUGCAGGGGCGGGGGUGGGGGACGUGGGUGGCAGAGGACACGUCCAUGAAAUCUUUCCUUGAGCCCUCCACUAUUUGGGCAUCAGCCUUCUCUCUAUUUUUUUUUUUUCAGUUUAUAGAGGUAUAAUUGACAUAUUGUAAGGUGAACAUAUUUAAAGGUACAAUUGAGACUUUUUUUGUGUGAGGAAGACUGUCCCUGAGCUAACAUCUGUUGCCAAUCUUCCUCUUUUUGCUUGAGGAAGAUUGUCACUGAGCUAACAUCUGUGCCACUCUUCCUCCAUUUUGUAUGUGGGACGCUGCCACAGUGUGGUUGAUGAGCAGUGCUAGGUCUGCGCCUGGGAUCCGAACUGGCGAACCCUGGGUUGCCGAAGCGGAGCGUGUGGACUUAACCACUGCACUACUGAGCCGGCCCCCAAUUGAUGACUUUCGAUGUGCGCAUACAUCCAUGAAGCCAUCGCACAAUCAAGAUAACCAGCAGACCCCCCACCCCAAUGGGGUUCACUUGGCCUUGAGAUACGUUCCUCUUUUCCCCACCCCCAGAGUUUUCUGUAUUGGAAGGUUUUCAACUGCAAAUUCAAUAUCUUUGAUAGAUAUAGGACUAUUCAGGAUAUCUAUUUCUUCUUGAGUUAGUUUUAGUAGCUUGCAUCUUUCAAGGAGUUUGUUUACUUAGUCUAACUUGUCACAUUGUAUAAAGUUACGUGUAAUACUUCA
RNAcentral lists this long non-coding RNA (1887 nucleotides) under Equus asinus (donkey). Its description in RNAcentral is "lncRNA (ENSEASG00005031400.1)". Lineage: Eukaryota; Metazoa; Chordata; Mammalia; Perissodactyla; Equidae. The record is from RNAcentral.